RNAcentral lists this ribosomal RNA (253 nucleotides) under uncultured bacterium. RNAcentral describes it as "partial 16S ribosomal RNA". It matches the Rfam family "Bacterial small subunit ribosomal RNA", at positions 524 to 776 of the family's 1533-position model. The record is from RNAcentral.
UACGGAGGUGGCGAGCGUUACUCGGAUUCAUUGGGUGUAAAGGGCAGGUAGGCGUCCCUGCAAGUUUUGGGUGAAAUCCUGUGGCUCAACCACAGAACUGCCUAAAAAACUGUAGGGAUUGAGGCUAGAAGAGGAGAGCGGAAUUCCCGGUGUAAGGGUGAAAUCUGUAGAUAUCGGGAGGAGCGCCUGUGGCGAAAGCGGCUCUCUGGUCUAGCCCUGACGCUGAACUGCGAAAGCUAGGGGAGCAAACAGG